Molecule: long non-coding RNA, 357 nt
Filed under: Nicotiana benthamiana
Lineage: Eukaryota; Viridiplantae; Streptophyta; Magnoliopsida; Solanales; Solanaceae
Description: long non-coding RNA (NBEN_LNC022537)
Source: RNAcentral
GAGCCUUAAACUUCCAUCAAGAGCCUUCAGACUUUUCAACCCCAAGUGGCCUCUUUUUUUGUCUUUCGAUAUGAUGCACAAAUUUACUAAAUGAGUUUUCUUCCAUCCAGAGUUGCCACCCAACAGAAGUCAUUCCUCAACUUGUUUAUCUAUUUUCCAUCAAUGGUGGCAGAGGAACAAGGACAUCAGUUAUUUAGGGAUUCCAUCCAAGACACGUUAAUCAGUGUCAGUCUCCCAUCAAAUGACAGGUACUACUUUCCAAAGGGCCAACUUGACACCUUGCCAUACUCCAACAUCCUUUAGUUUCCCGAAGGCACCCAAGAUCACAGCCAGAACCAGAACUACAUAAUUUACAUU